RNAcentral lists this long non-coding RNA (369 nucleotides) under Rattus norvegicus (Norway rat). RNAcentral describes it as "long non-coding RNA NONRATT029086". The record is from RNAcentral. Lineage: Eukaryota; Metazoa; Chordata; Mammalia; Rodentia; Muridae.
CGAUCCCAGCACCUUCGCCAGUCUUCAGAAAGUGAAUCCUAGAGGAUGGUGACUCGGCCAGGGGCUCCCCUUCUUCCUCUCCCCUUACAGGCUCUUCUCCAUUCUGGCUAAGCAUGGAACAAAAACUUUGUUCUAGAUCUACCAGUUCCAUGUCUACGACCAGUGCACAAGAACCAAACUAUUCUGCUUCUGCUAACUCCUCCAUCUUUAGUCUACCAAUGACUUGGUUCUUAGGAUUCCCUGACACUUGGAAUCUCCCAGUUCCAUUUAAGUGUUACUUGACAGUCUCAAGUUCAGAGAAGGGACAACAGAUAGUGGUUCUGUUGUGUCUGAGAAAUAAGGCCAGCAACUGUGUGCCCUUGCACUGAA